RNAcentral lists this ribosomal RNA (1343 nucleotides) under uncultured bacterium. RNAcentral's name for it is "16S ribosomal RNA". It matches the Rfam family "Bacterial small subunit ribosomal RNA", at positions 28 to 1378 of the family's 1533-position model. The record is from RNAcentral.
GACGAACGCUGGCUGCGUGCUUAACACAUGCAAGUCGAACGGAAAGGCCCUGCUUUUGUGGGGUGCUCGAGUGGCGAACGGGUGAGUAACACGUGAGUAACCUGCCCUUGACUUUGGGAUAACUUCAGGAAACUGGGGCUAAUACCGGAUAGGAGCUCCUGCUGCAUGGUGGGGGUUGGAAAGUUUCGGCGGUUGGGGAUGGACUCGCGGCUUAUCAUCUUGUUGGUGGGGUAGUGGCUUACCAAGGCUUUGACGGGUAGCCGGCCUGAGAGGGUGACCGGCCACAUUGGGACUGAGAUACAGCCCACACUCCUACGGGAGGCAGCAGUGGGGAAUAUUGCACAAUGGGCGGAAGCCUGAUGCAACAACGCCGCGUGCGGGAUGACAGCCUUCGGGUUGUAAACCGCUUUCGCCUGUGACGAAGCGUGAGUGACGGUAAUGGGUAAAGAAGCACCGGCUAACUACGUGCCAACAGCCGCGGUGAUACGUAGGGUGCGAGCGUUGUCCGGAUUUAUUGGGAGUAAAGGGCUCGUAGGUGGUUGAUCGCGUCGGAAGUGUAAUCUUGGGGCUUAACCCUGAGCGUGCUUUCGAUACGGGUUGACUUGAAGAAGGUAGGGAGAAAUGGAAUUCCUGGUGGAGCGGUGGAAUGCGCAGAUAUCAGGAGGAACACCAGUGGCGAAGGCGGUUCUCUGGGCCUUUCCUGACGCUGAGGAGCGAAAGCGUGGGGAGCGAACAGGCUUAGAUACCCUGGUAGUCCACGCUGUAAACGGUGGGUACUAGGUGUGGGGUCCAUUCCACGGGUUCCGUGCCGUAGCUAACGCUUUAAGUACCCCGCCUGGGGAGUACGGCCGCAAGGCUAAAACUCAAAGGAAUUGACGGGGCCCCGCACAAGCGGCGGAGCAUGCGGAUUAAUUCGAUGCAACGCGUAAAACCUUACCUGGGUUUGACAUGGAUCGGGAGUGCUCAGAGAUGGGUGUGCCUCUUUUGGGGUCGGUUCACAGGUGGUGCAUGCCUGUCGUCAGCUCGUGUCGUGAGAUGUUGGGUUAAGUCCCGCAACGAGCGCAACCCUUGUUCACUGUUGCCAGCACGUUAUGGUGGGGACUCAGUGGAGACCGCCGGGGUCAACUCGGAGGAAGGUGGGGAUGACGUCAAGUCCUCAUGCCCCUUAUGUCCAGGGCUUCACGCAUGCUACAAUGGCUGGUACAGAGAGUGGCGAGCCUGUGAGGGUGAGCGAAUCUCGGAAAGCCGGUCUCAGUUCGGAUUGGGGUCUGCAACUCGACCUCAUGAAGUCGGAGUCGCUAGUAAUCGCAGAUCAGCAACGCUGCGGUGAAUACGUUCCCGGG